Molecule: ribosomal RNA, 250 nt
Filed under: uncultured prokaryote
Description: partial 16S rRNA
Rfam family: Bacterial small subunit ribosomal RNA
Source: RNAcentral
ACGUAGGGGGCAAGCGUUAUCCGGAAUUAUUGGGCGUAAAGAGUGCGCAGGCGGCUUUUUAAGUGCGAGGUGAAAUGCAACGGCUCAACUAUGGUAAGCCUUGCGAACUGGAAGACUUGAGUGCAGGAGAGGAAAGUGGAAUUCCUAGUGUAGCGGUGAAAUGUGUAGAUAUUAGGAGGAACACCAGUGGCGAAGGCGGCUUUCUGGACUGUAACUGACACUGAGGCGCGAAAGCGUGGGGAGCAAACAG